Molecule: ribosomal RNA, 253 nt
Filed under: uncultured bacterium
Lineage: Bacteria
Description: partial 16S ribosomal RNA
Rfam family: Bacterial small subunit ribosomal RNA
Source: RNAcentral
UACGGAGGGUGCAAGCGUUAAUCGGAAUUACUGGGCGUAAAGCGCGCGUAGGCGGUUUGCUAAGUCAGAUGUGAAAUCCCCGGGCUCAACCUGGGAAUGGCAUUUGAGACUGGUAGGCUAGAAUGUGGUAGAGGUGAGUGGAAUUCCAGGUGUAGCGGUGAAAUGCGUAGAGAUCUGGAGGAACAUCAGUGGCGAAGGCGACUCACUGGGCCAUUAUUGACGCUGAGGUGCGAAAGCGUGGGUAGCAAACAGG